Molecule: RNA transcript, 970 nt
Organism: Corticium candelabrum
Lineage: Eukaryota; Metazoa; Porifera; Homoscleromorpha; Homosclerophorida; Plakinidae
Gene name: ribonuclease H2 subunit A-like
Exons: 8
Source: RefSeq, a predicted model, not a curated record
UGCAAUUUGUUGACAGAUAUGGCUGGAAAAGAGAAACUUGAAUCAAAUAUUCCUCAAGCAACUAAGACACAUAAUGUUUGUGCAGGUAUAGAUGAAGCAGGAAGAGGACCUGUGUUAGGUCCUAUGGUAUAUGGACUGUGUUUCUGCCCUUUGUCCGAGAAGGAACGAUUUGCUCAAAUGGGAUUUGCUGAUUCCAAGCAGCUCUCAGAAGAGAAAAGAGAAAAGUUAUUUGAGGAUAUAAAAAAGGCUACAGAAUUUGUGGGAUGGAGUGUGGAAAUAUUAUCUCCCUCAUUUAUAUCAACUAGCAUGCUGGCAAGAUCCAAAUACAAUCUCAAUGCAUUAUCUCACGACAGUGCUAUAGGUCUAGUGAAACGUGCACUUGACAAUGGAGUGAACAUCACAGAGCUGUAUGUUGACACUGUUGGAGACCCAGCAAAAUACCAAGCUAAGCUAUCACAGUUGUUUCCACAUAUUCAAAUUACUGUUGCCGCCAAGGCUGACUCACUGUUUCCAAUAGUCAGUGCUGCGAGCAUCUGUGCCAAGGUGAUACGAGACGAAGCCGUGAAGAACUGGCAGUUUGUGGAAGCUUUACCAUAUGAUUGUACGUCGUAUGAGUCAUAUGGGUCUGGUUAUCCUGGAGGUCGGUUGCUGCUGUGUCAAUGCUCACACUAAAGAGUGGUUGGAGAGUGUUUGUGAUCCUGUAUUUGGCUUUCCGCAGUUUGUCCGUUUCAGCUGGUCUACAGUCGAUAAACUUCUAGAACGGAAAGCUACAGCUGUUGAAUGGGAAGAUGAUGAUGAAGAUGAACAACCAAAAGGUACAGUUACGCUAAGCCAGUUUUUCAGUAAGAAAGACAAAGUAAAGAAACAUAGAUUCUUCGAAGAGAGGAAACUGUCUACAGUACAAGAUCUAUAAAUAUUUGUUGAUAAAUGACUAGUACAAAACUAGACAAUCGACUUAGUUUCUGUAUGA